This 788-nucleotide long non-coding RNA is filed under the name Monodelphis domestica (gray short-tailed opossum). RNAcentral's name for it is "lncRNA (ENSMODG00000031234.2)". Lineage: Eukaryota; Metazoa; Chordata; Mammalia; Didelphimorphia; Didelphidae. The record is from RNAcentral.
CAGUCGUGGGGAAGCUCAGACUGCUCUCAACUGUUAACGCUGUUUACACAUACCGGGCUACACUGACUACCUCUUUGUGGGAAGUUGUUUACAUGAAUUUAUUUUGGGAAAAUUCCAUUAGACGGGACCAAGAUUUCUUCAUAAAUCAUUGAAUCUUGCUUGUGUACUGAUAAAAUCUGGGUAGCAAUUCAUUCUUCUGGGCACUGUCUAGUGGGGAAAAAUUCAUCCAGCUGCAACAUUGUUAUAGAAUAAACUGAGAGAAUAUGAGUGGAUAAGAAUCAGAGAGAUCAUCCAGUCCAAACUCCAUCAUCUUAAGGGGAAUGUGAAUACCCAGAGAAAAUGACAUGAUAUCACAAAUAAUCAACAAACUGAUAAAUGAAGCCCUCAUUUGUGACUUGGCUCUCACAAUAAGAGAUGGCUCCUGCCAAUCUUAGGAUAUAUGUAAAGUGGCAUAUACAUGGAUUGUUUUGUGCAGAUCUGUGAUUUCAUUGAGAAUCUCCAAGGGAAAGAGUUUCCCCAACUUCUCCAAAGUUUCCAUUUUGGGGAUCCCAGUACCCACCACAGCCAAGACUUGUCUGGACUAAUCCUCAGGCUGUCCUGCUGCUAUUUAAGCCUAUUUGCCCUUGUUCCAUCCAGGCUGAAAGAAGAGCUGUACAGGGACCCAGGGAAGAUGCAUUUUCCAAUCCAAUCAAGAGUUCUUAAAUAGAAGAUUCCAUCACAGGAUUAUAUAUUUAGACCUGGAGGGGAUCUGAAAGAUUUUACAGCUGGAAAGAACCUAGAGGGAGGAG